Molecule: ribosomal RNA, 494 nt
Filed under: uncultured bacterium
Lineage: Bacteria
Description: partial 16S ribosomal RNA
Rfam family: Bacterial small subunit ribosomal RNA
Source: RNAcentral
GACGAACGCUGGCGGCGUGCUUGACACAUGCAAGUCGAACGGAAAGGCCUGCUUUCCCUUGUGGAUUGCGGGUACUCGAGUGGCGAACGGGUGAGUAACACGUGAGUGAUCUGCCCCCAACUUGGGUAUAAGCCUGGGAAACUGGGUCUAAUUCCCGAUAGGACUGCAGGGUGGUGCCUGUGGUGGAACACGAUUUUCUAGUGGUUGGGGAUGAGCUCGCGGCCUAUCAGCUUGUUGGUGGGGUAAUGGCCUACCAAGGCGGCGACGGGUAGCCGGCCUGAGAGGGUGGACGGCCACAUUGGGACUGAGAUACGGCCCAGACUCCUACGGGAGGCAGCAGUGGGGAAUAGUGCACAAUGGGCGGAAGCCUGAUGCAGCGACGCCGCGUGGGGGAUGACGGCCUUCGGGUUGUAAACUCCUUUCGACCGCGAGGAAGCCACCUGGUUGGAAGGGUGGUGACGGUAGUGGUAGAAGAAGCACCGGCUAACUACGUG